Molecule: ribosomal RNA, 484 nt
Filed under: uncultured bacterium
Lineage: Bacteria
Description: partial 16S ribosomal RNA
Rfam family: Bacterial small subunit ribosomal RNA
Source: RNAcentral
AUUGAACGCUGGCGGCAUGCUUUACACAUGCAAGUCGAACGGCAGCGCGGGCUUCGGCCUGGCGGCGAGUGGCGAACGGGUGAGUAAUGCAUCGGAACGUGCCCAGUAGUGGGGGAUAGCCCGGCGAAAGCCGGAUUAAUACCGCAUACGACCUGAGGGUGAAAGCGGGGGACCGAAAGGCCUCGCGCUAUUGGAGCGGCCGAUGUCGGAUUAGCUAGUUGGUGGGGUAAAGGCUUACCAAGGCGACGAUCCGUAGCUGGUCUGAGAGGACGACCAGCCACACUGGGACUGAGACACGGCCCAGACUCCUAAGGGAGGCAGCAGUGGGGAAUUUUGGACAAUGGGGGCAACCCUGAUCCAGCCAUGCCGCGUGCGGGAAGAAGGCCUUCGGGUUGUAAAGCGCUUUUGUUCGGGAAGAAAUCCUCUGGGCUAAUACCCCGGGGGGAUGACGGUACCGGAAGAAUAAGCACCGGCUAACUACGUG